This 472-nucleotide ribosomal RNA is filed under the name Flavobacteriaceae bacterium UGC1-1. RNAcentral's name for it is "bacterial SSU rRNA". It matches the Rfam family "Bacterial small subunit ribosomal RNA", at positions 29 to 494 of the family's 1533-position model. Lineage: Bacteria; Pseudomonadati; Bacteroidota; Flavobacteriia; Flavobacteriales; Flavobacteriaceae. The record is from RNAcentral.
AUGAACGCUAGCGGCAGGCCUAACACAUGCAAGUCGAGGGGUAACAGGGAGUGCUUGCACUUUGCUGACGACCGGCGCACGGGUGCGGAACGCGUAUGGAACCUGCCUCUGUCAGGGGAAUAGCCCAGAGAAAUUUGGAUUAAUGCCCCAUAGUAUUGUUAUGACACAUGUUAUAGUAAUUAAAGAUUUAUCGGACAGAGAUGGCCAUGCGUACCAUUAGUUAGUUGGUAAGGUAACGGCUUACCAAGACCGCGAUGGUUAGGGGCCCUGAGAGGGGGAUCCCCCACACUGGUACUGAGACACGGACCAGACUCCUACGGGAGGCAGCAGUGAGGAAUAUUGGACAAUGGAGGAGACUCUGAUCCAGCCAUGCCGCGUGCAGGAUGACGGCCCUAUGGGUUGUAAACUGCUUUUAUACGGGAAGAAACCCACCUACGUGUAGGUGGCUGACGGUACCKUAAGAAUAAGGACC